RNAcentral lists this long non-coding RNA (10413 nucleotides) under Homo sapiens (human). RNAcentral describes it as "HSALNT0164728". The record is from RNAcentral. Lineage: Eukaryota; Metazoa; Chordata; Mammalia; Primates; Hominidae.
GUUCUAAUAAAAACACAGUCAAUUUUUUUUAAACAAAGGGCACUAUAGGUUAUCCAUUGCAAUGAUAAAUCUAGAAGGUCAGGCUGGGAGGUUAUUGUUUUGUCAAAUCUUUGGGAUUUGACCCUAACAUGUUCCCACUUCUGUGUUGAAAUCAGUUAUACCCAAAUCUUUUUGAUCAGUCACUGACAUUUAUUGAGCACCUACUAAUCGUUGGGCCUUGGUUUAGCCUGAAAUUGUGUGAAAGUCAAAGAGUGCAUGACUUUUAGAAUUGCUCAUCAACAGGUACAAUUUCAUAGUCAGUCCCAGGGUUUCACAGGUGUCUGAACAACUCUGGGACCACUCAUAUCUCUGAGCAUAAUUGUCUGCUCUCUGAGCUGGCACUGCAUCCCAGAUGAUGGCUCUCCUUGAUUUUUCCAUGCAGGCAUCCAGGAGCAGAGCUGUGGGGCAGCAGAAUCUGUGAUGACAGAGAAUGAUGAUGUAUUUUUGCCAGCAGAUGCUUUUGCUCCUGUUUUGAUACCCCAAUAUUCGGAUGCAGAAAAGGACUCUGAGCAUUGCUGACGGGUGUGCUCUGCACACCUAUCUCUUCAGGAUCUGAAUAAUUUGGUGGAAAGACAAUGCCUUUUCUGGAAAAGGGUGUCAGUCUCCACAAAGAACAAUGUUCUUCCCAACCUGCCAAGACAGCCAAAUAACAAAAGAAAUACCCGUGGAGCCCACCUGAAGUGCACAGAUCUGGGGACAUUGGGAGGAACAGAGGUAGCUUAGUGACUCUACUGUCCCUACCACCCAACCUGCUAUUAGCCCUGCUGGUCCGCUCGUGUUUGAGGUCAUGAGUCAGGUGAGUUUCACAUUUUCCAACUCAAGCUAAGUUAGAUUCAUCCACCCAGUACUUUGGAAAGCAAGGCGAACCACAUCUACCGUGAGCAAUUCCUCGAAGCUGUCAGCGUGUGCUGCCAGUCCACCCUGCGAGAGCCCCGUACAAGACAACAGAUUAACCAUUAGACUAGAUAUGUUGAAAAUAUACAGCUUCAACCUUUCCCCAGCUAGCUCAGAGCGAUAUAUAGAUGAUUAUUUCAACCGUCAGCUGCCGCAUAGAUUUAAACCUCUGCACAAUAACUCCUGGAUUCAUCUGCCCCUUGUCAAACUUGCACAGCUUUAGUUGGAGGAUACAUGGUGUGGCAGUUUCACUGUGAAUCCAGAAUGAUCCAGACGGCUGCUGUCUCUUUGUUAACAGGAAGCCAAACUGAUGAGUUUGUAAUGCAUUUCUUAUCAAAGGUAGUUUCAGAAAAGAAAAUGUGCCCCAUCAGUUUGGCUAGAAUUUCACAUACACAAGAUUAUAGGCUUAAUCAGAAUAUCUCUGUUAUUUUCUUGAGGAAAUAGAUAAUUCCACAUCCAUUCCAUUAAAUCAUUUUAUGCCAAUGAAUUAUGUAUUUAUGAAUUUAUAAUUAUCCUUGAUUUUUCUUCCCCUUUUGCAGUCUACUUAAUAAAAUCAUCAGCUGGAGCUUACAAAGCAAUAGUGCUUAAUAGAUACAAGCAUGCUAAUAUAUUUUUUAAGUGAAUGCUGAUCUUUCUGAGCUGUGUGUCUAAAAUCAUCAUUGUGAAUAAAAGAAUUGUAAUUUCCAACCCAUACAUUUAACAAAGACAAAGUGGACUGUAAUGGAAUUUAUGGAGCCUGUAAAGGAACUCUUUUUCUAAGACGGUUUAUAAUCAAAUAGAUUUGGAUUUACUGUAGGUCAAAUCAGGUCCCCCGAUGUGUAUCAAGAAAAAAAUGCCUGUAAGAUACCAAACACUGCUCCUGGCACCCUGGAAGGGCUCACACCCAUGGCUACAGCUGCUAGUUUCCUGGUGUCCUCAUUGUUUCCACCCCUAGUGAAUUCAGUACUUAAAUGUCAGCUUUGAAAUCAAUAUUUAUACUGUCUUCACUUAAAAUUAUGACAUUCUGUUCAUCCUGGAUUUUUUAAAUUUUGAUUAUUUUGAAAAUAUUUUAUUUUGAUAGUUUGAAAAUAUUGCAUGAAACUAUCAUUUAUCUUGAUUCCUGAGGUUUUGGGUCUCCUCUUAAAUUUGGUGCCCAGGGCAAAAGCUUCUCUCACCUCGCCCAAUUUCCAGCCCUGAACACCAUUUCUCAAAGGUGUUUGAGGUACUGGUUCUGCCACCCCACAGAACUGGACAAGGCAAAUCUAACACAAGACUUAUUUCUUUUGAUCACUUCAUGCUGUUUGCAUGAGAUUGUUAAGGAAGGCCCUUGCAACAAACACUUCCUCGUGGAUUUACAAAUUGUCAGGCAUCCCAAGGAGUGGAGAAAAGAUCAUGCUGCCUCAGGAAUCUGAGAUUUGCCACCUGCCCAGAGUGAGAAACAGAAAAGAGAGCUGGGGUCAGGUCUCUCGUGGACUUUAUUUCACAUCCCACAUCAAAUCCUCCUGGUUAACACAAUGUUGAUUUACAUUUCCACUUUGGGGUGAAAGUUUUUAUUUGCUUACAUAUUUUGACACCAAUGUUACUUUCUUUUUCUUUCCCCCCACCCCCAAACAGGUUCAAAUAGCCAUGACUGGCAGAAGAUGUCAAUCACAUUUCAUUUCCAUUUUCACUUUGCUGUUUACAUUCUUUAAAUUAAUGCUUGCCCCAAUGAUUGUGAUAUUUAAAGACCAGCCUAGAAUCUAAUUGUGUAUAUGUGAAACUGUUUUCUAAACCAUAAGAUGUUAUAUAAAUACAAACCACUAUUAUUAUUAACAUUAUUACUAUUGGCUCAUCCGGAAAUACCAUAUCUUCCAUUGAGCCAAUGGUGUCAAGAGCCCCCUAGAAUUCUAAUAUAUAUUCCAGAUGGGUGCACUGAUAAUUUCUUUCAAACUCAGAUAAAGGUAAAAUGCAUGGGUUUUUAGUGCAAGCCAGGUGCCCGACGAAGAAUAUUCUGCCAGAACACUUUAGAAAUACAGUAUGCUUUUAACCUUGGGAGGUAAGGACCAGUGUGGAUUAUGACUUUACACUAAACACAGCAUUUAGUAUAUUUCUUAAGGGCAUAAUCACCUUCUAUAGAUGUUCUUGAACUAUAAAAUCUUUAUCUGUAUGCUAUCAUAAUUUAUCCUCGGACACAUCCUGUGCAAUAUUUUAUAAUGCUAGUGUAUGGUGGGCCUUUCUGGUCAAUGCAUUGGAGAACAAGGUGUGGAGUGCAACAGAAGGGCUGGAAGCGGCUUGGGGAUGCUCUGGCCUCACCCUCUUUUGCGUCAUAGCUGCACUCAUACGCAGACCCUGACCCAGGACCCAGGUCGGCUGACUUCUAAUUCAGAUCAUUUGCUGCCAGAAUUCUGCCUGUGAGUGAGAACAGCAUGAGGAUAUGAGCUUCUUGAGUCAGUCCACCUGCCCAAGUCCCAGCUCUGACCCUCUUUAGAGCUCUGAUCUCAGACCAGUUACUCCAUACCUCAAUGUCCUACGAUCUACUGUGAUCCCUACUGGACCAAGGACACCAAAUUUCGGAGAUGCUUUGGGAUUAUGUGACAUAACCAGGGGGCUGCAGGCUGACAGCCUGAGGACCAACUACUGUCCCCAGUGUGCUGAGCUUGGCACCACCCUGCUGAUACACAGGAUUUCACAUGUGGGACAAUCUUUAAGUCUGAAGAUUGUCCAUACAAAUAUGGAUUUCUAACUUCUAAUUAAAAAUCUUGUAGAGGACUGAGUCUUCAUUCCAAAAGGGUGCCAUUCUCCUGGGGCAGGAGCUUAUCAGCUGCUCAAAUGCCCCACUGCUGCCUACUGUACCCCCAUAUAUAGGGCAGACACCCCAUGUUUGCAUUUCUGGCCCUGGAACCAGUGACACUCAAGUGUACCAUCCCCGAAAUAAAGAUUUUAAGGCAUGGGAUAUCCCUCCACAAAUGCCUACUCACAUUGAGUGGGUAGAGAGGUUAAGAGUUAACCACACAGGUCUUAAAGCCACAUUGUUGGGUCUGAACCUAGGUAUUUGGCAAAUUAUCUAACUUCAGUUUUCUCACCAAUAAAAUGAGAAUUAGAGUACCUAUCUAAUAGGUUGUUGUGAGAAUUGACUGAAAAUGUGAAAAGCACUUAAAAGAAUUCCUGGUGAGCUCUUUCUAAAUGCUACCCAUGAUUAUUGCCUUGGCUUUGAAGAGUCAGAGCAAUGAGAGUUCUCUGCUGCUGGGUCCUUCUCCACACCAGUCUGCCACAUUUGGACAUGGUGUAAUUCACAUGGGUCCAUACUCUCUCUCCUUCCCCAAGCAAUUGAGCCGCUAACCAACACUUAGAAUGGGGUGAGCAUUCCCACCCCCACCUGACCCCUAGCCUUGCAUCUCAUUCAACUGUCACCUUUGUCCCUUGUUUCAUAUGGCCCCAAUGAAGUGCUCAAGUCAAAUAAUUAGGUUUUGCCAAAUGUCAUAAAAACAAGAAAAGCCAGAAAACGUUUAAACGGACCUCAAUUGGAGAAGGCUGGAACCAUUCAGGGCAAGAACAAAUGAAAGACAGAUGGGGACAGAGGAACCCCACUGUUUCCUCUAAAUUACAGGAAAUUCACGCCGUCUGAUUGUGAGGGCCUCUUUUCUUUCCCUUGAAUUUCUGCUGGGAGGUCAUGGGAUUGAUCGGCGUGUGCAGACACAUGGGAGACAGAAGAAGGGGCAGAGGCAUGGCGGGGUAGAGAGGCAGUGACUCCUUCACCAGGCUCUCCCACCAUGUCUUCCUUUCACCUGACUACUUGACCACCCUUGAAGGGACAGCCUAGGCUGCCUCCUCCAGGGGGCCUUCCCAGAUGAUUAUGACAAGAUCAAUUCUCUCCUUUCUUUAAAAAAUCCCCUGGCACUUCUGAUCUCAUGCCUUGCAUUAUUAUAAUUUGUGUUCAAUUCUAAUGUGUUCUACUCCCCCAGCUAGGCUUAUAAGCUCCUCUGUUGGAGUUCACAUAUCACUGAGUCUCUCACAAUGCUGGGCCCUGAAAAGUUCCCAAUAAAUAGCUCCGAGCAGCUACAGAGGCGAUGUUGCAAAGGGGAGAAGCACAGCUUAGUGAUCAGGAGCCCCGGGGUUCUAGGCCUGCCUUGGAUCAACUGUGUGGCCUUGGCAAGACACUUCCCUUUCCUGGGGGGAUGAGCAUUAGUUAAGUAUGAGACCCUUCUGGCUCUGAUUUGUAAUGACUCUGAGUUUAAUGUCGGGCAUACCUUUUUCUUGUUCUUUUCUUUAAAAUCUUUUUAAAGAUGCACAAUAAGAGAGAACCACAAGCCUAGCCAGAGAAAUUAGAUAAUUGCAUUAAAUACGAAUAUACGAACUCAUAAGUUACAUAAAUGCAACAGUACAAAAGAUGUUGCAUGAGAAUGUCAAGGGAGGGCUACAUGAAAUGUCUUAGACAAUAAGUUAAGUCCUAGAGAGAGAAUUGUUCAGGAAAAAAAAAAAAAAAGAAAGGAAGAAAAAGAAGACGACUUGAAACAAGAAUAGGAUGAAUAGAGAGGUCCCGUAUAUCCCCAGAUGGAGCACAGGGCCUGGCACUCAGGGGGCACUUGACCCAUGAUGCUGAACAGACUAAGGAGUGGCAGUAGAGGGUGGGAAGGGCAUGCCAGGUGGAGGACACAGUUUGAACCAAGGCAAGGUGGUUGGAAAAUACUAAACUGUAUAAACUGUAAGAAAGUCAAUUUGGCUAGAGCAGGAAAAUGUGUUUGAGGGCACAGUUGGAGGUAUAAAGGGCAGAGAGUGUAAGCGUUUACAUUCCAAAUGAUAGAAUUUGCACAAUAUUUAGUAAUAAUCUGAAGCCUCUGGGAAAGCUAUUUUUCUUCUGAUUUAAAUACUGAAGUUCAAAGAGGAUAGUGGGUGGGCUUUGCAUCUUGCAAAAGUCUAUCAGAAACUGCCUAGCUCGCUCAGCCCACUUUCCUUUCCAAGGUAAGAAACACACAUUCAUGCAUGGAAAUAAAGCAGGGAGGCCCUUGGCAACUGUCCAGUUCCAUUGAAGUUCUCAUUUUUCUUUUUUUUCUGGAGAGCUUAUUCAACAGGAAAAUAAAGUUAUCUAAUGCCUCAGAAAGGGGUCCCGUGAAACUCACAAGGCCUAUUCCUCACAGCCCAGCCAGGUAAAUUUACCCUGAUUUCAGGAUGGCUAUUUCUUGUCUUCAACUACUCCAGCUGAUCCCAUCCCCUCUACAGAGAACUGGAAGGAAACCCGUCAGGGUUUGACUUUUACAUGAAAACUGACUGCAAUCCAUAUUUUCAAAAAAUCAUUUUCAACAAAACCAGUGCUUUAAAAUAGAUUCACUGAGAAGAAAAUGUUUCCCCAAUCCUCUCCUCCUUGAUUUUGUUGAAUCAAUAACAUUUCAAGAUGUUCUCUGUGAAAAUCACAUGGGUGAGUUAAAUAAGAACAUACAUUACAUUAUCUAGAUCCUCAACUUGCAGCCCUUAGCGCAGUAUGCCUGAGAAAAGUUUAAAAACUCAAAAGAGAGAAAUCCUAUUCAAAGAGUAAAAUACUGCCUAUGCUUCCAAAGUUCUUUACGGCCUGAUAGGUAGAAAUUUAAUAAUGAAGGGCUGGGAAUGGUGGCUCACAUUUGUAAUCCCAGCACUUUGGGAGGCUGAGGCAGGUGGAUAUCUUGAGGUCAGUUCAAGAUCAGCCUGGCCAAUAUGGCAAAACCCCGUCUCUAAAAAUACAAAAAUUAGCUGGGCAUGGUGGCAUAUGCCUGUAGUCCCAGCUACUUGGUAGGCUGAGGCAGGAGAAUCACUUGAACCUGGGAGGCAGAGGUUGCAGUGAGCUAAGAUCGCACAACUGCACUCCAGCCUGGAUGACACAGUGAGACACUGUUUAAAAAAAAAAAAAAAGGAAGAAAAUUUAAUAAUGAAAAACAUAAACAAAUAAGUGAGUCAUCCUGAGACAUAUUUCAAUUCUCCCCUUCUGUAACCUCAAUAAAUUCAUUUUCUCCCACAUAAGCUAAUGUUUGCACUAAAUAUUCUGUACAAAGGAAUACCGCAGACCAUAAAAAAAACAGUAAAAAGAUAUAGCUGUGUCUUUUUUAAAAAACGGUUGAAAAAUUGGGUAUGUGUGGACAAAAUAAUUUUUAAAAAUAGUUUUGCUUGCACAUUUGAUUUCUCUCUUCAUUUAUGAUGCCCUAGUUGAUGAGCUGAUCAACUUUUCUGUGAAAAGUCUUCCUAAAAAACAGAACAAAACUUAACAGAAACUCUGAUCCUGUUUGUCAAAAUGUAGUUCUGGCCCCGAGAGAAAGGCAAUAUUCUUUGGAUGACUUGGAUUCUAAAGCAACUCUUUUAUUAGUAUUAUUAUUUACUUUUUUUUUUUGAGACGGAGUCUCGCUCUGUCACCCAGGCUCCCAGGCUGGAAUGCAGUGGUGCAAUCUUGGCUCACUGCAACCUCUACCUCCCAGUUCAAGCAACUCUAGUGUCUCAGCCUCCAAAGUAGCUGAGAUUAUAGGCACCUGACUAAUGUUUGUAUUUUUAGUAGAGACGGGGUUUCACCGUGUUGGCCAGGCUGGUCUCAAACUCCUAACCUCAAGUGAUCUGCCCGCCUCAGCCUCCCAAAGUUCUGGGGUUACAGACGUGAGCCACUGCACCCAGCCUGGAUUCUAGAGUAACUCUUGAUGAAAGAACAUCAUACUAAGGUGAUUUUUAUAUAAAACAUUAAUUCAGUAUAUCAAUCAGUCACUUUAAUAAAAAUGCCCCUCAUUAUCCUGAGGUGAAUAGAAGCCUAUGGGAUUAAUUUGUGUAAAUAGAUAUUAGAUUAAAAUGGGAACUUGCCACAUAACAAUAAUCAGAUAGCAUAGGCAAUCCAAUCUCAGUGCUGAAUCCAGUAUUGUGUGUGUAGUUACCUUUUAAAAACAGUAACAUGUAUUUAACUUGGACUUGCUUCAAGUAAGCACUGCAUCAGGCAAGUUGGAUUUCAAAUAAACCUUAGCAAUUGAGGGGCAUUGUCGUACUGGAAGUAUAUCUCUUCAAACAACAGCAACAACAGUUUUAGAUAUUUAUUUUAGAGAAAUAAAGGAGACAAUCUGCAAGAGAAAAGGCAGAAAGUGAGGAGGAGGAGAGUACCUAGAAUCCAGGUAGAGGGUUUAUUUCUAGAAAAGCAGCGCCACCUGCUGGUGGACCUGCAUGUCAGGCCCUUCUGCGGCUUGCAGGCCAUCUGUCUUGCAAUCUAUGCAUAAAUACACAGCAGUAUUUCUCAGCUGCUGUUAUACGUAAGAAUUGUAUUACCAGUAGGCAGAUUUCUAACACACUGGUUGUAGUUUAAUAAUCCUAUAUUACCUGAAGUAUGGGUUAUAUAAAAACCUAGAAUGUUAAUUGUUGACAAACCAAUUCUAAUAUGUAAAGCACUGUAAGUCACCCAGUAAAUACACAAGUAAAUCAAAAGGGAUAGCUCUUUUUGCUCUAACAACGUGUUAUUAAAAGCCACAACUUAAUCACUUACAUAAAAAUAAUGUUCAUGAAUUUCGAUGUACUAAGAAAUCAGGAAAAUGCAUUAUAAUCUUACUAACAGAGCUUUUCCUUCACUUACAAUUUAGAGGAAACUAUUUUGCAGAAAAUAUUUUUCCCUUUCUUUAAAAAAUGUACCUAAACCAACAUGCCAUUUAGGAAAUUUGCUCCUAUAACAAAACCUAGUUACAAACAACUAAGAUUACAUCUAUAAAAUGUUAUAUUUUUAAAAUAGCAAUAGAGAAGUUGUGGAAAAUAUGUCACUGAUACAGUGAGCAGAGAAACACUACCUGUCAUUUUUCAGGAAAAGAUCACACAAACGCGAUAGCAAAGGAACACAAUAAAAAGCAGAAACAGGAAUGUGAUAGGUGACUCUGAUUGCAUCUGCAAAGGAAACUGUGAAAUAAAUUAACACCCAAGUACCCAAGAAAGGCACAUUGUGGCUUCACUGGAAGUGAUCAUUAUGCAACAGAGAAGGUUGGUGAUUUUGUAAGAACAGAAAUAAAGUGUAGCCUGUGAAAUCUAGUGGUGAUAACUAAUGACCAUACUACUUACAACUCUGAUUUGAUCUCUAACAUAAAAAAAUAAAAUAAAAAAGUACUCUAAAGAAUAGAUGUAUGCAAUAGGGAUUGUGUUUCUCACUUGAAACAAAUAAACCUCAAAUGGGAUCAAAGGGCCCCGGUAAAUGAAAAAUGACAGUUCCUAUGUUGCCCUGAUUUGAUCUCAAGCAAAACUACCAUGCUGAUAACAUAGCAGGGGAUGUGAGGAAGGCAGUGGAGUUCUUGGAUUGCUAUGAAAAGGAGGCGAGUGUGUAGCCCAUUCAGCUGAUGGGAAGCCCAUUCUAAUUCCAAAAAGUUAUUGAGAUUUAAUCUCUAACAACAACAACAACAACAAAAUAACUCAUGCGGCAACCAAAAGGGUAUCCUUUAAAAACACACAUACACAAUUUUGUUAUUUCCAAUACAUUCUGUAGAAUCUCUUUACAUUCAAUUCUUCCAUCUGUCUAAGCUGGGUAAGGCACAUGUGUGAAGAGAACCAAAUGUCACAAUGCUUGCUUUGAGAACGAAGUGUCUCCAGUUAUCCAGACAGGGAGCUUGACUAGGAGGGUCUCAGGCAUAGGCCAUGGGCAUCCCAUCUCCCAUCUCAGCUGGCUACCACUCACUCUGGAGAGACAGGGUUUCCAGGAGCAAUUCUGGACAGAUGCAAAGGGUGAAGGGGAAUCUGGUGGGGUUCAGGGCUGUCAAGAUUCGAGUUGGGGGCUUACCCUGCCUAGAUAUAACUCCUAGUGUUAGCUUGUGUAUUAGUCCAGUGAGAUAAGGUCUAGGCCAUUGGCUAGGGUCUGAACAAUUAAAGGUGCACACCCUGCCUUAAAUAUCCAAAUUUAUUUGGGAUAAAUUCAAAUCAAUAAGGAAACAUAGGUGGAUGAACAGAAGCAAUGGGUUUGCCAUGGCUUCCUACCCCGACUCAAAUACCCAAUGACAUAUGGAAGGAGAAAACAUCAGCACCCCCAGAUCCACUACAGAGCCCACCAUGUGCUGUCAGCAGAAACAACGGAACAAAUGUGUUACCUUCAGAAGAAGCAGUGAUCAAUUUGAGAUCAAUCUAUUCAAGAGUUGUCCAGCAGUCAAAGGAAUUGGCUGUUGGCUGUUCAGAAACAAAGGUUCUGUUCAAGAAGGUAUAAAGGAACAAGAAGGAAGAAAGGAAGAUCUCUAGCCUUGAGACUUUUUUUUUUUUUUUUGCCUCUGGUUCAGCUUCUCAUGAAAGACCUUUUUCCUUGAGAUACAUGCUUAAUAAACUAUGGAAACAUAUUGUCAACAGAGUUUACAUGUUAAUCAGCCAUUUAUUGAAUUCACACUGUGUGUCUUGGUUACUGUGUGCAAUAUGCUAAGAAUUCAAAGACCAAUUUUGACUUCUACAAAAACCUCAACAUAAAAACUGUCUAAUGGGGUUUACAUGAAAUGUUACAGGCUUACAGAAAAGAGAUUCACUUUUUCUAAUUUGGUUUCCGGGUGGGCUAGUUAAGAAGGCUUCACAGAGAUGGCA